Molecule: transfer RNA, 71 nt
Filed under: Loxodonta africana (African savanna elephant)
Lineage: Eukaryota; Metazoa; Chordata; Mammalia; Proboscidea; Elephantidae
Rfam family: tRNA
About the family: Transfer RNA (tRNA) molecules are approximately 80 nucleotides in length. Their secondary structure includes four short double-helical elements and three loops (D, anti-codon, and T loops).
Source: Rfam by way of RNAcentral
ACAUUGGGGGUUCAUUGGUAGAAUUCUUGCCUUCCAUGUGGGAGGCCCUGGUUCAAUUCCCAGCCAAUGCA